CUAGGAAUCUUGGGAAUGGGCGAAAGCCUGACCCAGCAACGCCGCGUGAGCGAUGAAGGCUUUCGGGUCGUAAAGCUCUUUUGUGGGGGAAGAUGAUGACGGUACCCCACGAAUAAGCCACGGCAAACUACGUGCCAGCAGCCGCGGUAAUACGUAGGUGGCGAGCGUUGUCCGGAUUUACUGGGCGUAAAGGGCGUGCAGGCGGUCUGCUAAGUCUGGGGUGAAAGCUCCCGGCUCAACUGGGAGAGGUCCUUGGAUACUGGCAGACUCGAGGGAGGUAGAGGAGAGUGGAAUUCCCGGUGUAGUGGUGAUAUGCGUAGAUAUCGGGAGGAACACCUGUGGCGAAGGCGGCUCUCUGGGCCUUACCUGACGCUGAGACGCGAAAGCGUGGGGAGCGAACCGGAUUAGAUACCCCCGUAGUCC
This 423-nucleotide ribosomal RNA is filed under the name uncultured bacterium. RNAcentral's name for it is "bacterial SSU rRNA". It matches the Rfam family "Bacterial small subunit ribosomal RNA", at positions 355 to 796 of the family's 1533-position model. The record is from RNAcentral.